This 253-nucleotide ribosomal RNA is filed under the name uncultured bacterium. RNAcentral's name for it is "partial 16S ribosomal RNA". It matches the Rfam family "Bacterial small subunit ribosomal RNA", at positions 524 to 776 of the family's 1533-position model. The record is from RNAcentral.
UACGGAGGGGGCUAGCGUUGUUCGGAAUUACUGGGCGUAAAGGGCUCGUAGGCGGCCAACUAAGUCAGACGUGAAAUCCCUCGGCUUAACCGGGGAACUGCAUCUGAUACUGGAUGGCUUGAGUUCGGGAGAGGGAUGUGGAAUUCCAGGUGUAGCGGUGAAAUGCGUAGAUAUCUGGAGGAACACCGGUGGCGAAGGCGGCAUCCUGGACCGACACUGACGCUGAGGAGCGAAAGCCAGGGGAGCAAACGGG